This 336-nucleotide ribosomal RNA is filed under the name uncultured archaeon. RNAcentral describes it as "partial 16S ribosomal RNA". It matches the Rfam family "Archaeal small subunit ribosomal RNA", at positions 133 to 475 of the family's 1478-position model. The record is from RNAcentral.
CGGGAACUGGGGAUAAUACCUGAGAGUCCGGACGUACGGGAAUGUUGUCCGGAUGAAAGAUCCGUCGCUUCAGGAUGAGUCUGCGGCCGAUUAGGUUGUUGUUGGGGUUACGGCCCACCAAGCCUUUGAUCGGUACGGGUUGUGGGAGCAAGAGCCCGGAGAUGGAUUCUGAGACACGAAUCCAGGCCCUACGGGGCGCAGCAGGCGCGAAAACUUUACAAUGCGGGCAACCGUGAUAAGGAAACCCCGAGUGCCAGCAUAGGUUGGCUGUCCGCCAGUGUAAAAAACUGGGGAAGAAAGGGCCGGGCAAGACCGGUGCCAGCCGCCGCGGUAACA